This 585-nucleotide ribosomal RNA is filed under the name uncultured bacterium. Its description in RNAcentral is "partial 16S ribosomal RNA". It matches the Rfam family "Bacterial small subunit ribosomal RNA", at positions 355 to 1375 of the family's 1533-position model. The record is from RNAcentral.
UGGGGAAUUUUGGACAAUGGGCGAAAGCCUGAUCCAGCAAUGCCGCGUGUGUGAAGAAGGCCUUCGGGUUGUAAAGCACUUUUGUCCGGAAAGAAAUCCUUGGCUCUAAUACAGUCGGGGGAUGACGGUACCGGAAGAAUAAGCACCGGCUAACUACGUGCCAGCAGCCGCGGUAAUACGUAGGGUGCAAGCGUUAAUCGGAAUUACUGGGCGUAAAGCGUGCGCAGGCGGUUUGCUAAGACCGAUGUGAAAUCCCCGGGCUCAACCUGGGAACUGCAUUGGUGACUGGCAGGCUAGAGUAUGGCAGAGGGGGGUAGAAUUCCACGUGUAGCAGUGAAAUGCGUAGAGAUGUGGAGGAAUACCGAUGGCGAAGGCAGCCCCCUGGGCCAAUACUGACGUUCAUGCACGAAAGCGUGGGGAGCAAACAGGAUUAGAUACCCUGGUAGUCCACGCCCUAAACGAUGUCAACUAGUUGUUGGGGAUUCAUUUCCUUAGUAACGUAGCUAACGCGUGAGGUUGACCGCCUGGGGAGUACGGUCGCAAGAUUAAAACUCAAAUGAAUUGACGGGGUCAUAGCUGUUUCCU